Pelobates cultripes (western spadefoot toad) is the source of this 476-nucleotide non-coding RNA. Lineage: Eukaryota; Metazoa; Chordata; Amphibia; Anura; Pelobatidae. The record is from the annotation of a GenBank genome assembly.
AGAAUCCCCUCCAAGCCCCAUUAGAGACUACAAUGGAGUCUAAUAGGCUUGGAAGGUGGUCUUUCUAACAGAGGCCAUCUCAGCAUCCAUUAGAUAGCCCCUGCUGGAAACAGUCGCCUCCAGACCCCAGUGGAGACUACAAUUGAGGGCUAAUGGGCCAUGGAGGGGGGGUCAUUCUAGCAGAGGCUAUCUCAGUGUCCUUUAGAGAGUGUGUUAGAAAGAAUCUCCUCCAGGCCCCAUUAGAGACUACAAUGGAGUCUAAUGGGGCCUUGAGGGGGGUCUCUCCAACACUCUGGUUCCUAUUCACAAUAUAGCAACACAACAUAGCUCGCUGAUACCUAGGCCAAGUUGGCUCCUCUUAACUUAAUUACUGUUGCUAGCUGGCAGUCUGUGAGCUUGCUGGAAGGUUGUGGGCUUGCUGGCUGCGGCUGGCAGGCUGUGGCUUCCUGGCAGGCUGUGGGCUUGCUGGAAGGCAG